UGGGGAAUAUUGGACAAUGGGGGGAACCCUGAUCCAGCCAUGCCGCGUGUGUGAAGAAGGCCUUAUGGUUGUAAAGCACUUUAAGCGAGGAGGAGGGUACUGGUAUUAAUACUACCAGGUACUGGACGUUACUCGCAGAAUAAGCACCGGCUAACUCUGUGCCAGCAGCCGCGGUAAUACAGGGGGUGCAAGCGUUAAUCGGAAUUACUGGGCGUAAAGCGCGCGUAGGUGGUUCGUUAAGUUGAAUGUGAAAGCCCCGGGCUCAACCUGGGAACUGCAUCCAAAACUGGCGAGCUAGAGUAGGGCAGAGGGUGGUGGAAUUUCCUGUGUAGCGGUGAAAUGCGUAGAUAUAGGAAGGAACACCAGUGGCGAAGGCGACCACCUGGGCUCAUACUGACACUGAGGUGCGAAAGCGUGGGGAGCAAACAGG
Molecule: ribosomal RNA, 430 nt
Filed under: Pseudomonadota bacterium
Lineage: Bacteria; Pseudomonadati; Pseudomonadota
Description: Proteobacteria bacterium partial 16S ribosomal RNA
Rfam family: Bacterial small subunit ribosomal RNA
Source: RNAcentral